Molecule: ribosomal RNA, 672 nt
Filed under: Acinetobacter baumannii
Lineage: Bacteria; Pseudomonadati; Pseudomonadota; Gammaproteobacteria; Moraxellales; Moraxellaceae
Description: bacterial SSU rRNA
Rfam family: Bacterial small subunit ribosomal RNA
Source: RNAcentral
UGCAGUCGAGCGGGGGAAGGUAGCUUGCUACUGGACCUAGCGGCGGACGGGUGAGUAAUGCUUAGGAAUCUGCCUAUUAGUGGGGGACAACAUCUCGAAAGGGAUGCUAAUACCGCAUACGUCCUACGGGAGAAAGCAGGGGAUCUUCGGACCUUGCGCUAAUAGAUGAGCCUAAGUCGGAUUAGCUAGUUGGUGGGGUAAAGGCCUACCAAGGCGACGAUCUGUAGCGGGUCUGAGAGGAUGAUCCGCCACACUGGGACUGAGACACGGCCCAGACUCCUACGGGAGGCAGCAGUGGGGAAUAUUGGACAAUGGGGGGAACCCUGAUCCAGCCAUGCCGCGUGUGUGAAGAAGGCCUUAUGGUUGUAAAGCACUUUAAGCGAGGAGGAGGCUACUUUAGUUAAUACCUAGAGAUAGUGGACGUUACUCGCAGAAUAAGCACCGGCUAACUCUGUGCCAGCAGCCGCGGUAAUACAGAGGGUGCGAGCGUUAAUCGGAUUUACUGGGCGUAAAGCGUGCGUAGGCGGCUUAUUAAGUCGGAUGUGAAAUCCCCGAGCUUAACUUGGGAAUUGCAUUCGAUACUGUGAGCUAGAGUAUGGGAGAGGAUGGUAGAAUUCCAGGUGUAGCGGUUGAUAUGCGUAGAGAUCUGGGAGGAAUACCGAUGACGAACGG